This 847-nucleotide ribosomal RNA is filed under the name uncultured Burkholderiales bacterium. RNAcentral describes it as "SSU rRNA". It matches the Rfam family "Bacterial small subunit ribosomal RNA", at positions 43 to 886 of the family's 1533-position model. Lineage: Bacteria; Pseudomonadati; Pseudomonadota; Betaproteobacteria; Burkholderiales. The record is from RNAcentral.
CAUGCCUUACACAUGCAAGUCGAACGGCAGCACGGACUUCGGUCUGGUGGCGAGUGGCGAACGGGUGAGUAAUAUAUCGGAACAUACCCAGUAGUGGGGGAUAACUAUCCGAAAGGAUAGCUAAUACCGCAUACGAUCUGUGGAUGAAAGCAGGGGAUCUUCGGACCUUGUGCUAUUGGAAUGGCCGAUAUCUGAUUAGCUAGUUGGUAGGGUAAAAGCCUACCAAGGCGACGAUCAGUAGCUGGUCUGAGAGGACGACCAGCCACACUGGAACUGAGACACGGUCCAGACUCCUACGGGAGGCAGCAGUGGGGAAUUUUGGACAAUGGGGGCAACCCUGAUCCAGCAAUGCCGCGUGAGUGAAGAAGGCCCUCGGGUUGUAAAGCUCUUUUGUCAGGGAAGAAACGGAGUUCUCUAAUAUAGGAUUCUAAUGACGGUACCUGAAGAAUAAGCACCGGCUAACUACGUGCCAGCAGCCGCGGUAAUACGUAGGGUGCAAGCGUUAAUCGGAAUUACUGGGCGUAAAGCGUGCGCAGGCGGUUUUGUAAGUCUGAUGUGAAAUCCCCGGGCUCAACCUGGGAACUGCAUUGGAGACUGCAAGGCUAGAGUGUGUCAGAGGGGGGUAGAAUUCCACGUGUAGCAGUGAAAUGCGUAGAGAUGUGGAGGAAUACCGAUGGCGAAGGCAGCCCCCUGGGAUAACACUGACGCUCAUGCACGAAAGCGUGGGGAGCAAACAGGAUUAGAUACCCUGGUAGUCCACGCCCUAAACGAUGUCUACUAGUUGUCGGGACUUAAUUGUCUUGGUAACGCAGCUUACGCGUGAAGUAGACCGCCUGGGGAGUACGGU